RNAcentral lists this ribosomal RNA (774 nucleotides) under uncultured Neocallimastigales. Its description in RNAcentral is "partial large subunit ribosomal RNA". It matches the Rfam family "Eukaryotic large subunit ribosomal RNA", at positions 26 to 614 of the family's 3401-position model. Lineage: Eukaryota; Fungi; Neocallimastigomycota; Neocallimastigomycetes; Neocallimastigales. The record is from RNAcentral.
CGCAUCUGUGCAUGCAGCAUAUCAAUAAGCGGAGGAAAAGAAACUAACAAGGAUUCCCCUAGUAACGGCGAGUGAAGCGGGAAGAGCUCAAAUUUGAAAUCUUAAAGGGUUUCCCUUUACGAAUUGUAGUUUAAAGAAGUGUUUUCUGUUGAGGUUUUGGUAAAAGUUCUUUGGAAUAGGACAUCAUAGAGGGUGAGAAUCCCGUAUUUGACCUUUACUUUCAACUUUGUGAUACACUUUCAAAGAGUCGGAUUGUUUGGGAAUGCAGUCCAAAAUGGGUGGUAAAUUUCAUCUAAAGCUAAAUAUUGGCGAGAGACCGAUAGCGAACAAGUACCGUGAGGGAAAGAUGAAAAGAACUUUGAAAAGAGAGUUAAACAGUACGUGAAAUUGUCAAAAGGGAAGCGUUUGACACCAGUGUUGUUUUUCUGAAAAUCAAUUAAAGAACUGUUUAUGCUAAGUUGUUUAGACUUUAUCAGCUAUCUGUUUAGUUUUGAGCUUUUCUUUAAUGCACUUUUCAGUUAACAAGUCAACAUCAAUUUCUUUUGCUGUAAAAAAGCUUGAGGAAGGUGGCUUGAGAUUCGUCUUAAGUGUUUAUAGCCUCUUGCCUAUGCAGUCGGAGAGAUUGAGGUCUGCAGCGUAGAUCCUUCGGGGCUAAAUGCAUUUGUGCUAAGUUAUAGCAUUUUAUAGACAACUUGUUGACUAUGAUUUGUCUUGUAGCUUACUCGCUUAUGUUAUUUUACCUACGCUUAGGAUGUUGAGUCAUCACACAUCUCU